AUUGGGCAAUGCCCGCAAGGGUGACGCAGCAACGCCGCGUGGAGGAUGAAUGUCGUAAGAUUGUAAACUCCUGUUAGAGGGGAAGAAUAGUACCGGUUGGACCGGUAUAUGACUGUACCCUCAGAGAAAGCCCCGGCUAACUACGUGCCAGCAGCCGCGGUAAUACGUAGGGGGCAAGCGUUGUCCGGAUUUACUGGAUGUAAAGGGCGCGCAGGCGGGAUAAAAAGUCAGUGGUGAAAUCCUACAGCUUAACUGUAGAACUGCCUUUGAUACUUUUAUUCUUGAGUGUGGGAGAGAGAGACGGAAUUCCAGGUGUAGUGGUGAAAUACGUAGA
This 334-nucleotide ribosomal RNA is filed under the name uncultured bacterium. RNAcentral's name for it is "bacterial SSU rRNA". It matches the Rfam family "Bacterial small subunit ribosomal RNA", at positions 363 to 694 of the family's 1533-position model. The record is from RNAcentral.